CCUUCGGUUGUAAGUUCUUUCGCGCAAGAACAAGGAAAAGAAUGUGAAUAACAUUUUGACUUGAGGGUACUGCGUAAAGAAGCACCGGCUAACUCCGUGC
RNAcentral lists this ribosomal RNA (100 nucleotides) under uncultured bacterium. RNAcentral's name for it is "partial 16S ribosomal RNA". The record is from RNAcentral.